GUGGGGAAUUUUGCGCAAUGGGGGAAACCCUGACGCAGCAACGCCGCGUGGAGGAUGAAAUCCCCUGGGAUGUAAACUCCUUUCGAUCGGGAAGAUAAUGACGGUACCGAGAGAAGAAGCCCCGGCUAACUUCGUGCCAGCAGCCGCGGUAAUACGAGGGGGGCAAGCGUUGUUCGGAAUUAUUGGGCGUAAAGGGUGCGUAGGCGGUUUGAUAAGUCUGAUGUGAAAUCUAUGGGCUCAACCCAUAGCCUGCAUCGGAGACUGUUGGGCUUGAGUAUGGGAGAGGUGAGUGGAAUUUCCGGUGUAGCGGUGAAAUGCGUAGAUAUCGGAAGGAACACCUGUGGCGAAAGCGGCUCACUGGACCAUUACUGACGCUGAUGCACGAAAGCUAGGGGAGCAAACAGG
Molecule: ribosomal RNA, 405 nt
Filed under: uncultured Granulicella sp.
Lineage: Bacteria; Pseudomonadati; Acidobacteriota; Terriglobia; Terriglobales; Acidobacteriaceae
Description: bacterial SSU rRNA
Rfam family: Bacterial small subunit ribosomal RNA
Source: RNAcentral